This 322-nucleotide ribosomal RNA is filed under the name Arytaina vittata. Its description in RNAcentral is "partial 12S ribosomal RNA". The record is from RNAcentral. Lineage: Eukaryota; Metazoa; Arthropoda; Insecta; Hemiptera; Psyllidae.
GAGUAGUAAGAGUUAUGAUCUUGAAACUCAAAAAAUUUGGCGGUAUUUUAUCUUACUAGAGGAACCUGUUUAUUAAUUGAUAUUCCACAACUUAAAUGUAUUUUCACUAGUUUAUUUGUAUACCGUUGUCAUGAAUGUACUAAAAAGUGAAUUUUCAAGAUUUCCUAUAUAGUUUAUGUUAGAUCAAGGUGCAGUUUGUGAAAAAAUAAAAUGGGUUACAGUAUUUAGUAUGAAUGAAAAAUAUUUUAAAAGAAUGUUAGAAAAAGGAUUUAGAAGUAACCAGGAAAUAGUAAAGAUUUUUUAUGAAUUUAGAUWCUAAAUU